AGAGUUUGAUUAUGGCUCAGAGCGAACGUUAGCGGCAGGCUUAACACAUGCAAGUCGAGCGAGAAAGGGGGGCAACCCCUGAGUAAAGCGGCGGACGGGUGCGUAACACGUGGAUAAUCUGCCUUGGAGUGGGGAACAACAAUCCGAAAGGAUUGCUAAUGCCGCAUGUGGAGACGAGGACCCCGGUCCUUGUCCCAAAAGAGGGCGCCCGCAAGGGGCUCUCGCUCUAAGAUGAGUCCGCGUCCCAUCAGCUAGUUGGCGGGGUAACGGCCCACCAAGGCGAUGACGGGUAGCUGGUCUGAGAGGAUGACCAGCCACACUGGGACUGAGACACGGCCCAGACUCCUACGGGAGGCAGCAGUGGGGAAUAUUGGGCAAUGGGCGCAAGCCUGACCCAGCCAUGCCGCGUGAGUGAUGAAGGCCUUCGGGUCGUAAAGCUCUGUGGGAAGGGACGAAAAAAACAGACCUAAUACGUCUGGGCUUGACGGUACCUUCUUAGCAAGCACCGGCUAACUCCGUGCCAGCAGCCGCGGUAAUACGGAGGGUGCAAACGUUGCUCGGAAUCAUUGGGCGUAAAGCGCACGUAGGCGGUCGGCUAUGUCGGAUGUGAAAGCCUCGGGCUUAACCCGAGAAGGGCAUCCGAAACUGGCUGGCUUGAGUAUGGAAGAGGGUCUCGGAAUUCCCGGUGUAGAGGUGAAAUUCGUAGNUAUCNGGA
This 715-nucleotide ribosomal RNA is filed under the name uncultured bacterium. RNAcentral's name for it is "bacterial SSU rRNA". It matches the Rfam family "Bacterial small subunit ribosomal RNA", at positions 8 to 702 of the family's 1533-position model. The record is from RNAcentral.